CCUGCGAUCAAGUUCCAUGAAAAAUAGAGACCAAAACAAAUAAAUAGGACAGAGAAAUUUAGAGGUAUAGAGAUAAUGCCAGAAACAAAAGAAAAUAUCAAAAAUAAAACUACUGGGAUGCCUGGGUGGCUCAGUGUUGAGUGUCCGCCUUUGGCUCAGGUCGAGAUCCUGGAGUCCUGGGAUAGAGUCCCACAUCAGGCUCCCCACAGGGAGCCUGCUUCUCCGAGUAUGUCUCUGCCUCUCUCUGUAUGUCUCUCAUGAAUAAUAAAUAAAAUCUUAAAAAAAAAAAAACAAAAACAAAACCAUACACACAAGUUUCACCCUAUUAUCAUCCUACCUUUCUCAUAGCUUUUUUCUGUCUCCUCCAGCUCUAUGUCCCGUUCAUCCCCAAUGAACAUAAUACACCUGCUUUGGCCCUCUCUUCAGUCUAUACCUACAAUGUCCAAUAUAGUAGCCAUCAGUCAAACAUAGUUAUUUAAACUUAAUUAAAACUAAAUAAAAAUUCAACUCUUCAGUUGCACUGAGCCAUAUUUCAAGUGCUCAACAGCUCAACAACUUAAAAGUGGCUAGCAGCCACUCUAUUAAGAUUUUUUUUUUUUUAAGAUCUUAUUUCUUUAUUCAUGAGAGACACACACACAUAGAGAGAGAGAGAGAGAGAGAGAGAGGCAGAGACACAGGCAGAGGGAGAAGCAGGCUCCAUACAGGGAGCCCGACGACGUGAGACUCCAUCCCGGGUCUCCAGGAUCAGGCCCAGGGCUGAAGGUGGCGCUAAACUGCUGAGCUACCUGGGCCGCCCUCUAUUAAGAUUUAGAACAUUUCCAUGCAAGUUCUAUUGGACAGUGAUAGUCUAUAUACUCUCUUUCCAUUGAACUGACUGAUAUUUAUGGAGGGUCUUUUGUGUACCAGGCACUGUUCUGGACCCUAAAGAUAGAGCACUGGAGAAAACAAAGUCCUGCUAUGGAGCCGACAUCUAGUAGGAGGAAAGAGACAAUCUCAUUUAUUUCCAAACUGUCAUAGGGCUCCUAAGGCCUCUCCUGGGCUCCUAACUUGAAAUUUACAGCUUCUGCUAGAGUGCUAUGAAUUAUUAUACUCUGUCCCAAACUGAAUUCGGUAUCUUCUUUUUCCUCUCAAAUUUCCUUUUACUGUAUUCUUGAUUUCUUUCUUUCUUUCUUUUUUUUAAAGAUUUAUCCAUUCAUGAUAGACACAGAAAGAGAGAGAAAGAGAGAGAGAGAGGCAGAGGGAGGGAAAAGCAGGCUCCAUGCCGGGAGCCCGACGCAGGACUCGAUCCCAGGUCUCCAGGAUGGCGCCCUAGGCCAAAGGCAGGCGCCAAACCGCUGAGCCACCCAGGGAUCCCCUGUAUUCUUGAUUUCUGAGUAACCCUGGCCUUUUUCUCCUAUGUCCUACCACAUCCAGUUACCAAACCUUGUUGAAUUUAUCUGUACUAAACCUCUCUCUCUACCUUUACUGUCACUGCCCUAAUGAACUCUUGGCCCAAAGCCUCCAAAAUUAACUUCUCUAACUGAUCCUUCCACAUUUGCUUCAUGCAUGUCCUAGUUCACCCUAGUCCAUCUGGCAUUAAUAUUAUGCUUCUAAAACACAAAUUUGAUCCUGUAGUUUCCCAGAUCAAAAACCACCAGAUAAACGCCUUAAGUAUAAAACAAAUCCCUUAGCACAAACUCAAAGCAUCACAUAAUUUGGUUACAAACUACUUUAUCCUUCUAAUCUACUCUCCUGCUACAUACUGUACUACCCAGCCACCCCAAAUUACUAGAUCCCUUCAGGAAUCAAUCUCUCCCACAAAAUCUUCUACUUUUCUCCACUUAAAUACACAAAUACAAUCUCUUCAGCCACGAAGGCUGAUUCAAAGGACACCUGUCUCUUAAGUCUCUUAUCUCCCAAUCAAUCUUAAUUAUUUACUCUACAGAACUGCUGUAGUAAUUACACAUAAUCAUCAUACGUACAUCAUAUUCUCAGCGUCUGGUACCUGGGGAGUACCACGUUAAAGGACUAAAUACUUCUCUGAACAUUUAUGUCUGUGUUACGCGGAAAGACCCAUUUUUCGGUCAUAUUCGUGGAAACCUUUUCUUUCCUAGUAGGACUCAACAGCUUCAUACUCUGCGGGUAUUCGAGAAGUACUCAACAGAAUGUAAGGCCUGCGCGGUAUUUUCUCACAUUCGGAGCCAGCGCAUCGAUGCUGCCUGACUGGAGGCUCUGC
This 2215-nucleotide long non-coding RNA is filed under the name Canis lupus familiaris (dog). RNAcentral's name for it is "lncRNA (ENSCAFG00000053043.1)". The record is from RNAcentral. Lineage: Eukaryota; Metazoa; Chordata; Mammalia; Carnivora; Canidae.